UGGUGGGGUGACUUGUCUGCUUAAUUGCGAUAACGAACGAGACCUUAACCUGCUAAAUAGCCCGCAUUUGCUCCGGCAGUGCGCUGGCUUCUUAGAGGGACUUUCGGCUCAAGCCGAAGGAAGUUUGAGGCAAUAACA
RNAcentral lists this ribosomal RNA (138 nucleotides) under uncultured eukaryote. Its description in RNAcentral is "partial 18S ribosomal RNA". It matches the Rfam family "Eukaryotic small subunit ribosomal RNA", at positions 1299 to 1458 of the family's 1831-position model. The record is from RNAcentral.